GGAUUAGAUACCCGGGUAGUCCACGCCGUAAACGAUGGAUGCUAGCUGUUAGGAGUAUCGACCCUUCUAGUAGCGAAGCUAACGCGUUAAGCAUCCCGCCUGGGGAGUACGGUCGCAAGAUUAAAACUCAAAGGAAUUGACGGGGACCCGCACAAGUGGUGGAGCGUGUUCUUUAAUUCGAUGUUAAGCGAAGAACCUUACCAGGACUUGACAUCCUUGGAAUCUUUGGGAAACCAGAGAGUGCCUUUUGGAGCCAAGUGACAGGUGUUGCAUGGCCGUCGUCAGCUCGUGUCGUGAGAUGUUUGGUUAAGUCCAUUAACGAGCGCAACCCUUAUGAUUAGUUGGAUUUUUCUAAUCAGACUGCCUCGGCAACGGGGAGGAAGGAGGGGAUGAU
RNAcentral lists this ribosomal RNA (394 nucleotides) under uncultured bacterium. RNAcentral describes it as "bacterial SSU rRNA". It matches the Rfam family "Bacterial small subunit ribosomal RNA", at positions 775 to 1183 of the family's 1533-position model. The record is from RNAcentral.